AGAUUGAACUGAAGAGUUUGAUCAUGGCUCAGAUUGAACGCUGGCGGCAGGCUUAACACAUGCAAGUCGAGCGGUAACAGAGAUAGCUUGCUAUCUGCUGACGAGCGGCGGACGGGUGAGUAACGCGUAGAAAACUGCCCAGUAGUGGGGGAUAGCCCAGAGAAAUUUGGAUUAAUACCGCAUACGCCCUACGGGGGAAAGGGGGCUUCGGCUCUCGCUAUUGGAUGUGUCUGCGUGGGAUUAGCUAGUUGGUGAGGUAAGGGCUCACCAAGGCGACGAUCCCUAGCUGGUCUGAGAGGAUGAUCAGCCACACUGGAACUGAGACACGGUCCAGACUCCUACGGGAGGCAGCAGUGGGGAAUAUUGCACAAUGGGCGCAAGCCUGAUGCAGCCAUGCCGCGUGUGUGAAGAAGGCUUUCGGGUUGU
Molecule: ribosomal RNA, 426 nt
Filed under: Oleiphilus sp. HI0128
Lineage: Bacteria; Pseudomonadati; Pseudomonadota; Gammaproteobacteria; Oceanospirillales; Oleiphilaceae
Description: bacterial SSU rRNA
Rfam family: Bacterial small subunit ribosomal RNA
Source: RNAcentral